GACGAACGCUGGCGGCGUGCUUAACACAUGCAAGUCGAACGGAGAGGCCCCUUUGGGGGUACUCGAGUGGCGAACGGGUGAGUAACACGUGAGUAACCUGCCCUUGACUUCGGGAUAACUUCAGGAAACUGGGGCUAAUACCGGAUAGGAAUCCUUGCUGCAUGGUGGGGGUUGGAAAGCUUCGGCGGUUUUGGAUGGACUCGCGGCUUAUCAGCUUGUUGGUGGGGUAGUGGCUUACCAAGGCUUUGACGGGUAGCCGGCCUGAGAGGGCGACCGGCCACAUUGGGACUGAGAUACGGCCCAGACUCCUACGGGAGGCAGCAGUGGGGAAUAUUGCACAAUGGGCGGAAGCCUGAUGCAACAACGCCGCGUGCGGGAUGACGGCCUUCGGGUUGUAAACCGCUUUCAGCAGGGGCGAAGCUUGUGGUGACGGUACCUGCAGAAGAAGCACCGGCUAACUACGUG
RNAcentral lists this ribosomal RNA (465 nucleotides) under uncultured bacterium. RNAcentral describes it as "partial 16S ribosomal RNA". It matches the Rfam family "Bacterial small subunit ribosomal RNA", at positions 28 to 507 of the family's 1533-position model. The record is from RNAcentral.